UAAGACCUUUCGAUUUGGCAGCAGUUGUAGCAGUCAUCGCGAAUGUGAAACGAGAUUCCAAAAAGUUAGUUGAAUAUAAAAAAGGACACACCAAAACACACACAGAGACAGGAACAUAUUAAUAUGAAUAUUGUGCAAUUACAUUAUGCAUGCGAGUGCAAUGGGAAUGGAAAGGAAGAAUACACAAAUAUUCUAUGGUACAAUAAUAUAAACUAUUGGAUGGUACAGCUAGCGAAAUCAUAAUGAAUUGGUGUAUACAUUUACACACACACACACAUUCAUGCUUCGCAUUCUAUCGCAAUCUAACAGUAUGAAAACAUUAAGGAACGACGGAAUGGAACAUUUUGAUUAGACGCGAAGUUGGCUGCGCUACUAAUUGAGAUCGAAAAGCGCUUAAAUCUAUUCAUUUCAUUUAACUUAAUUA
This 424-nucleotide small RNA is filed under the name Drosophila virilis. RNAcentral's name for it is "GJ25853". The record is from RNAcentral. Lineage: Eukaryota; Metazoa; Arthropoda; Insecta; Diptera; Drosophilidae.